Molecule: unclassified non-coding RNA, 356 nt
Filed under: uncultured Gammaproteobacteria bacterium
Lineage: Bacteria; Pseudomonadati; Pseudomonadota; Gammaproteobacteria
Description: contains 16S-23S intergenic spacer region
Source: RNAcentral
UCCGGUUUGUCACCGGCAGUCCCAUUAGAGUGCCCAACUGAAUGUAGCAACUAAUGGCAAGGGUUGCGCUCGUUGCGGGACUUAACCCAACAUCUCACGACACGAGCUGACGACAGCCAUGCAGCACCUGUGUUGCGGUUCCCUUUCGGGCACCGAGGUAUCUCUACCCCCUUCCGCACAUGUCAAGGGUAGGUAAGGUUUUUCGCGUUGCAUCGAAUUAAUCCACAUAAUCCACCGCUUGUGCGGGUCCCCGUCAAUUCCUUUGAGUUUUAACCUUGCGGCCGUACUCCCCAGGCGGGUAACUUAAAGCGUUAGCGACGACACGGAAGGUGGGGAUGACGUGCCGGCAUUAGCCA